GGGGGUGACUUGGUUUCGACGGGAUUAGGUAGCUGUUGGUUGCAUGCCGGACUGGGCAACUCCGUUAUACGGCCCAAAUGCGAAUAAACGCAAACAAUACAAAUUAUCGUCCUGCUUACGCUGUAGCGUAAGUUUAACUUAACUUAGGACUGCUCUCGCGCUUGAGGCUACAUACACAGCGAUUUUGAGAGUAUAACCCUUUUUGUAGCUAUAUCACAGAUGUGUCUCCAUCUGUGAUGAACCCUUAGAGACUCGCUUGGUGUAGCUUUGCAGGUUGAGCGAAGCCAAGUUAAACACAAUCAACCUCUCUAAGCAUGUAGACGCCAACAGUAGCCUAGUUUCGGACUGGAGUUCGAUUCUCCACACCUCCACCA
RNAcentral lists this transfer-messenger RNA (374 nucleotides) under Campylobacterota bacterium. RNAcentral's name for it is "Epsilonproteobacteria bacterium (hydrothermal vent metagenome) transfer-messenger RNA". It matches the Rfam family "transfer-messenger RNA". Rfam says of the family: Bacterial tmRNA, also known as 10Sa RNA or SsrA, is named for its dual tRNA and mRNA-like properties. Its role is to liberate the mRNA from a stalled ribosome. To accomplish this part of the tmRNA is used as a reading frame that ends in a translation stop signal. The record is from RNAcentral. Lineage: Bacteria; Pseudomonadati; Campylobacterota.